AUUGAACGCUGGCGGCAGGCCUAACACAUGCAAGUCGAGCGGAUGAAGGGAGCUUUCUCCUGUCUUCAGCGGCGGACGGGUGAGUAAUGCCUAGGAAUCUGCCUGGUAGUGGGGGAUAACGUCCGUACACGGGCGCUAAUACCGCAUACGUCCUGAGGUAGAAAGUGGGGGAUCUUCGGACCUCACGCUAUCAGAUGAGCCUAGGUCGGAUUAGCUAGUUGGUGGGGUAAAGGCCUACCAAGGCGACGAUCCGUAACUGGUCUGAGAGGAUGAUCAGUCACACUGGAACUGAGACACGGUCCAGACUCCUACGGGAGGCAGCAGUGGGGAAUAUUGGACAAUGGGCGAAAGCCUGACGCAGCCAUGCCGCGUGUGUGAAGAAGGUCUUCGGAUUGUAAAGCACUUUAAGUUGGGAGGAAGGGCAGUAAGUUAAUACAUGGCUGUUUUGACGUUACCAACAGAAUAAGCACCGGCUAACUUCGUG
Molecule: ribosomal RNA, 484 nt
Filed under: uncultured bacterium
Lineage: Bacteria
Description: partial 16S ribosomal RNA
Rfam family: Bacterial small subunit ribosomal RNA
Source: RNAcentral